This is a long non-coding RNA of Dermacentor andersoni, 373 nucleotides long. RefSeq lists it as uncharacterized. The record is from RefSeq and is a predicted model, not a curated record. Lineage: Eukaryota; Metazoa; Arthropoda; Arachnida; Ixodida; Ixodidae.
UAAAAACACAAAACUAACAUGCAAAGAAAAAAAAGACAAUCACUUAGCGGAGAGAGGAAAAAAAGGCCGUGUCUGCUGUGCCCAGGAGACGAAAGGUGCCCGAAAAUGUCUACGUUCACCUAUGACGUCACGUCCACUAUAACUUAUGAUGUCACAUCCGCUCAUUUCCAUGGCGGCCGUCUUACGGAGCCGGUUGCGCUGCGAAACGACUGAACAUCCCAUGUCUUGGUUUGACUUCCUGGUACAGGAUACUUGCACUUAGCAUGGAGUGAUGAAGCAGAGCAGUGUACUUUUAUUAAAUGUGAAGAUUUUAGCAGUAUAACAGCAGUUCACUAAAAAUACAUGUGCUGAAAAUAAAGUGUUCUUACCCACA